UCUAACGCUGGCUGCGUGCUUAACACAUGCAAGUCGAACGCUGAAGCCCCAGCUUGCUGGGGUGGAUGAGUGGCGAACGGGUGAGUAACACGUGAGUAACCUGCCCCUGACUUCGGGAUAAGCCCGGGAAACUGGGUCUAAUACCGGAUAUGACCUGCUCUCGCAUGAGAGUGGGUGGAAAGUUUUUUCGGUUGGGGAUGGGCUCGCGGCCUAUCAGUUUGUUGGUGAGGUAAUGGCUCACCAAGACGACGACGGGUAGCCGGCCUGAGAGGGCGACCGGCCACACUGGGACUGAGACACGGCCCAGACUCCUACGGGAGGCAGCAGUGGGGAAUAUUGCACAAUGGGGGAAACCCUGAUGCAGCGACGCAGCGUGCGGGAUGACGGCCUUCGGGUUGUAAACCGCUUUCAGCAGGGAAGAAGCGAGAGUGACGGUACCUGCAGAAGAAGUACCGGCUAACUACGUGCCAGCAGCCGCGGUAAUACGUAGGGUACGAGCGUUGUCCGGAAUUAUUGGGCGUAAAGAGCUCGUAGGUGGUUGGUCACGUCUGCUGUGGAAACGCAACGCUUAACGUUGCGCGUGCAGUGGGUACGGGCUGACUAGAGUGCAGUAGGGGAGUCUGGAAUUCCUGGUGUAGCGGUGAAAUGCGCAGAUAUCAGGAGGAACACCGGUGGCGAAGGCGGGACUCUGGGCUGUAACUGACACUGAGGAGCGAAAGCAUGGGGAGCGAACAGGAUUAGAUACCCUGGUAGUCCAUGCCGUAAACGUUGGGCACUAGGUGUGGGGGGCAUUCCACGUUCUCCGCGCCGUAGCUAACGCAUUAAGUGCCCCGCAUGGA
RNAcentral lists this ribosomal RNA (839 nucleotides) under bacterium '081007-Super parmix-vit'. RNAcentral describes it as "bacterial SSU rRNA". It matches the Rfam family "Bacterial small subunit ribosomal RNA", at positions 29 to 877 of the family's 1533-position model. The record is from RNAcentral.